AAUGAACGUUGGCGGCAUGGAUUAGGCAUGCAAGUCGAGCGAGAAGACUUGGUUUGACGCUUCGGUUGAUUACUAAGUUGGACAGCGGCGCAAGGGAGAGUAACGCGUAGUUAUCUACCCUAGGGUCCGGAAUAGCCUCGGGAAACUGAGGGUAAUACCGGAUAAUAUCUUUGGAUCAAAGGUGUGAUUCCGCCCUGGGAGGAGACUGCGUACUACUAGUUUGUUGGUGGGGUAAUGGCCUACCAAGGCUUCGAUGGUUAGCGGGCGUGAGAGCGUGGCCCGUCUCACUGGGACUGAAACACUGCCCAGACACCUACGGGUGGCUGCAGUCGAGAAUCUUCGGCAAUGGGCGAAAGCCUGACCGAGCGAUGCCGCGUGCGGGAUGAAGGCCCUCGGGUUGUAAACCGCUGUCAGUUGGGAGGAAGGGCUCGUGAAGAGCGAGUCUUGACCUAUCUUCAGAGGAAGUCCGGGCUAAGUUCGUG
Molecule: ribosomal RNA, 482 nt
Filed under: uncultured bacterium
Lineage: Bacteria
Description: bacterial SSU rRNA
Rfam family: Bacterial small subunit ribosomal RNA
Source: RNAcentral